Molecule: non-coding RNA, 202 nt
Filed under: Atopomonas hussainii
Lineage: Bacteria; Pseudomonadati; Pseudomonadota; Gammaproteobacteria; Pseudomonadales; Pseudomonadaceae
Source: RNAcentral
GCCCCGUUUUAUCGUUCAGGUGCCCAGCAACACUGGGUUAAACGGGAAGUCAGGUGCGCUUCAUGCCAAGCCUGCGCUGCCCCCGCAACGGUAACCGACCGCAGCACGCUGCAACCGCUUCGCAAUAGCCACUGUGCCCUGCAUGGGAAGGCGCGAAUGUCGGGUCGGGAGCCCGGAAACCGGCCUGCACGAUGCGAUAGGU